ACAGAAGAGCAAAACUUAUCUUCAUGCCAAGACUUCUGCGGUCGGGACGCUGAUUCAAAACGUAUUUGUCCCGAAUUUGAUUUGGGAAUGGAAUGGUCACCAGCUGGUCCAAUACGUGGAAAAAACUGCACCCAGGUUAUUGAGCCGCGUGAUUCAGAUGGCUGGCUGGACAAUUAUAUUUGCUUUAACAAAGACUACGGAGUCCGUUGGUCACCUGCUGGUACAAUUGCAGGAAUGAUUUGCGAAAGAAUAAUAGAAGUAGCUGAACCAAUCGAUAAUACAUGGCAUGACAACUUUCUUUGCGUUCCACAUGAUUCAGCGUUUCAAUUCAAAUGGUCACCGAAUGGCGUUAUAGCUGAUUUAUGUUGUAUACAAGUGUAUGAACCACUCGAUAUCCAUACGUGGCAUGACAACUAUCUUUGCGUUUCGCGUUUGCGGAUUUUUUAGUUUUCAGCUCUUAGCAAAUAGUACCGCAUGCGAAAAUGC
Molecule: long non-coding RNA, 486 nt
Organism: Bradysia coprophila
Lineage: Eukaryota; Metazoa; Arthropoda; Insecta; Diptera; Sciaridae
Source: RefSeq, a predicted model, not a curated record